Long non-coding RNA from Ipomoea nil (Japanese morning glory), 104 nucleotides. RefSeq lists it as uncharacterized. The transcript has 3 exons. Lineage: Eukaryota; Viridiplantae; Streptophyta; Magnoliopsida; Solanales; Convolvulaceae. The record is from RefSeq and is a predicted model, not a curated record.
UUCAUUGCAUAAUUUGUGUGGUGAUUCUCGAAGUAUCGAGAAUGAGUUUCGACGUGUCGAACCCAUGUGUUGUGUAAAUGCUUGGCUUGGAAGUUUUGGUAUUU